RNAcentral lists this long non-coding RNA (386 nucleotides) under Homo sapiens (human). Its description in RNAcentral is "HSALNT0249851". The record is from RNAcentral. Lineage: Eukaryota; Metazoa; Chordata; Mammalia; Primates; Hominidae.
AUGUUAUAAAACAGCUCCACCCCUAUCUUCCUUCGCUGACUCUCUUUUCGGAUUCAGCCUGCCUGCACCCAGGUGAUUAAAAAGCUCUAUUUCUCACACAAAGACUGUUUGGUGGUCUCUUCACAUGGACGCGAAUGAAAUUUUGGUGCCGUGACUCAGAUCGGGGGACCUCGCUUGGGAGAUCAAUCCCCUGUCCUCCUGCUCUUUGCUCCGUGAGAAAGAUCCACCUACAACCUCGGGUCCUCAGACCAACCAGCCCAAGGAACAUUUCACCAAUUUUAAAUCAGAUCUUCUCGGCUCAGCAGAUGAAGACUGACACUUCCCGAUUGCCUCGGAAGCCUACAGGACCAUCACAGAUGCUCUGGGUAAUUAUCACAGUGGAGGGU